Molecule: long non-coding RNA, 2910 nt
Organism: Callithrix jacchus (white-tufted-ear marmoset)
Lineage: Eukaryota; Metazoa; Chordata; Mammalia; Primates; Cebidae
Source: RefSeq, a predicted model, not a curated record
UUUUUUUUUUUUUUUUAAGAUAGGGUCUCUGUUACUCAGGCUGGAGUGUGGUGGCACUUCCAACCUAGGUCUCUUGUGCUCAGAUGGUCCUCUUUUUUGGGACAGAGUCUUGCCCUGUGAGCCAGGCUGGAGUGCAGUGGCUCAAUCUCAGCUCACUGCAGCCCUCGCCUCCCAGUUUCAAGGGAUUCUCCUGCCUCAGAUUUCUGAGUAGCUAGGAAUAGAGGCGACUGACACCACGCCUGGUUAAUAUUUGCAUUUUUCUUUCUUAUUUAUUUACUUUUGAUACGAAGUCUUGCUGUCACCCAUCCUGGAGUGCAGUGGCAGGAUCUCGGCUGACUGCAACCUUUGCCUCUUGGGUUCAAGCAGUUCUUCUGCCUCAGCCUCCCAAGCAGCCAGAAUUACAAGUGCCCACCAACGCAACUGGCUACUUUUGUUUUAGUGGAGGAUGGGUUUCACCGUGUAGGCUAGGCUGGUCUCUAACCCCUGAGCUCUCAGCUGGGCCUCCCGCCUUAGCCUCCCCAAGUACUGAAAAUGCAGGUGUGAGCCACUUCGGCGAGCCGUCAACACCUUUUACGUGAUGGAAAUUAUUCUGGCACUCACCUCACCUGGGGUCAGGUAGAGUUGAAGGGGACACUAGCGGCCCUUGAUGAUGUGAUGUGCACUGUUUACCAAGAGCACAGAGGUGGAAUGCAUGGGAUUUGAAUUUUCAAUGGGUAAAUAAAACUGAAAUUAUGGGUGCAUGAUCAGGUCACAUAUGCAACGAGAUGUGCGUGUGUGACAAUGUGUAUUCUUCAACAUCUUAGAUUCCAUUUCGGAUGCUCCUGUCUGGACUGUGUGUCCCUGUACUGGAACUCGAGUGAACACUUGGCUGAAAAUCCAUUGCUGUUCUCUAGAAAUCCAGCCUAAUUCUCUUGGCUAAAGAUAAGGCCGGGUGCUGUUGCCCAGGCUGGAGUGGAGUGGCACUUCCAACCUAGAUCUCUUGGGCUCAGAUGAUCCUCUUUUUUGGGACAGUCUCACUCUGUAACCCAGACUGGAGCGCAGUGGCAGAAACUCCUCAGUGUACCCUCUGCCUUCCGAGUUCAAGCCAUUCUCCUCAUGCAGCCUGCCAAGGAGCUGGGAUUAGAAGCAUGAGCCACCAUGCCCGGGACUGUGUGUCCCUGUGCUGGAACUCAAGUGAACAUGUGGCUCAACAUCCAUUGCCGACCUCUAGAAAUCCAGCCCAAUUCUCUUGGUUCAAGGUUUCAUUCUGGUUGCUCCCAUCUGGACUGUGUGUUCCUUGUGCUGGAACUCAACUGAACGCUUGGCUCAACUUCCAUUGCUGUUCUCCAGAAAUUCCGCCCAACUCUCUUGGUUACAGAUGGAAUUUCACUCUUGUUGCUUAGAUUGGUGUGCAAUGACGCGGUCUCAGUUAACUGCAGCCUUUGCAUCCCGUGCUCAAGUGAUUCUCCUGCCUCACCCUCUGAGUAGCUGGAAUACAGGCAGCAGACAGAUGGUUUCACCAUGUUGGCCAGGCUGGUCUCAAUUCCUGACCUUAAGUGAUCCUCCUCCCUGGCCUCCCAAAGCGGUGGGAUUACAGGUGUGAGCCACCAUGCCUGGCCUCUUCAACAUCUGAGAUUCCAUUUUGGAUGCUCCCGUUGCAGUGUGUCCCUGUGCUGGAACUCAAGUGAACACUCGGCUCAACAUCCACUGCUGUUCUCUAGAAAACCAGCCCAAUUCUCUUGGUUAAAUGUAAGGUACGUCUAGUGGGUGUUGCUUUUUCUCUUUGCGGACAAAAGUCAAGAUGAUUGCCCCGUGAUGAGCAAGGCUAACGUGCUGAGCCUUUAAAACAAGGAACUGUAGGUGGUCCUUUUAAGGGUUUAUGUUCUGGAUUCUAGAAAACAUGCCAACGGGGCUAAUAAAUAAAUGCAUCUUUAUUUUUGUGUGCAUUUUAACCUGGUCAAAAAAAAUUUCAUAAAGCCAGCGUGCUAGGCAAGACGAUCUCAUGCUGUGACCCUCCAAAGGGAAGCGCCUUUCUGUUGUCUGAAAGAACACAAGGCACUUCCCUUUAGAGCGUGAAAGACUGAGAAAAGCAGCGUUGACGUCGGUGCUGACCUUGGUAAUACCUUAGCGGGGCAUGCUCAUCGUCCGGUUUCCAUGAUGGUGGAGUUCUGUUUCUUUUUUUUUUUUUUCUAAGACCAGGUCUCUGUUACCCAGGCUGGAGUGUGGUGGCACUUCCAACCUAGGUGUCUUGGGCUCAUAUGGUCCUCUUUUUUUUGGGACAGAGUCUUGCUCUGUGGUCCAGGCUGGAGUGCAGGGGCAUGAUCUUGGCUCACUGCAAACCUUCACCUCCCAGUUUCAAGGGAUUCCCGUUCCUCAGAUUCCUGAGUAGCUGGGAUUAUAGGUGCCUGAUUCCAUGCCUGUAUAAUGUUUCCACUGUUUUUUAUUUUGACUUAUUUUUGAGACAGAGGCUCCCAGUCGCUCAGGCUGGAGGGCAGUGGCAGGGUCUCAGUCUCCCCUGGAAGAUACUUAUGUGUGUGACAAUGUAUAUUCUUCAACAUGGUAGACUCCAUUCUGGCUGCUCCCAUCCGGACUCUGUGUCCCUGUACUGGAACUCAAGUGAACACUUGGCUCAAAAUCCAGUGCUGUUCUAUAGAAACCCAGCCUGAUUCUCCUGGUUAGAUACGAGGUCUGUGUGGUAGGCAUUGCUUUUUCUUUCCGGAGGCAAAACUCAGGUGGAUUGCCCCGUGAUGAACAAGGCUAACCUGCUGAGCCUUUGAAGGAAGGAACUAGAGAUGCUCCUUCUAGAGGUUUUUGUUCUGAAUUCCAGGAAACAUGCAAACAGGGCCAAUCAAUGCAUCUUUAUUUCUGUGUCCAUUUUAACCUGCUCAAGGAAAAUUCCGACAAAAAACCCGAAGUGCUGGACCAGGAAGA